This 406-nucleotide ribosomal RNA is filed under the name uncultured bacterium. RNAcentral's name for it is "partial 16S ribosomal RNA". It matches the Rfam family "Bacterial small subunit ribosomal RNA", at positions 30 to 526 of the family's 1533-position model. The record is from RNAcentral.
AUUGAACGCUGGCGGCAGGCCUAACACAUGCAAGUCGAGCGAGCGGCGGACGGGAGAGUAAUGUCUGGGAAUCUGCCUGAUGGAGGGAGAUAACUACUGGAAACGGUAGCUAAUACCGCAUACCAUAAGAUGCCCCCAGAUGGGAUUGGCUAGUAGGUGGGGUAAUGGCUCAUCUAGGCGACGAUCCCUAGCUGGUCUGAGAGGAUGACCAGCCACACUGGAACUGAGACACGGUCCAGACUCCUACGGGAGGCAGCAGUGGGGAAUAUUGCACAAUGGGCGCAAGCCUGAUGCAGCCAUGCCGCGUGUAUGAAGAAGGCCUUCGGGUUGUGAAGCACUUUAAGCGAGGAGGCGUUACUCGCAGAAGAAGCACCGGCUAACACCGUGCCAGCAGCCGCGGUAAUUC